Pocillopora damicornis (cauliflower coral) is the source of this 646-nucleotide long non-coding RNA. NCBI's taxonomy places the organism in Eukaryota, Metazoa, Cnidaria, Anthozoa, Scleractinia, Pocilloporidae. The record is from RefSeq and is a predicted model, not a curated record.
UUUACCCUGUUACCUUCUGUGCUGGCUAGUAAUUUGGGAUUGUUUCGCAAUGGAUGAAGAAAGCAAAUGUUUUUUACCCUUGUCCUUUAUUAUUAUAUUUUCUUUUGGAGUCGAACAUAAUAUACGAAUAUUUGGGGUGCUAUUUUAUUUAUUUGUUCUGGCUUAUCUAUUGUUUCAUCGCUCCAUAAGAGCCUAGGUUGGUCAAUUCACGAUUUUCCCUUUCUAGAAAAUUGUCUAGUUUGGUUCGUUUUCCUCAAAUCAGCGGACAAACGUCGAGCAUGCGCAAGGGGAUCAAUUUUGGCCAGUCGCGUGCGCGCGCCCAAUUCCUGCGCAAAAUUUCAGAAGUAAACUUAGGAAACAUUCCUAUUCCCAGUAAAAAAUAACGACCAAAUACGAACGCGUUUGACUGCUGUGUUGCAGACUGAACUAAACUCAACAUUUAAUAAGGAGUGGCUAACUUCGAGCGUGACGUCUCCUCAAGUUUAACUACCCAGAUCCAUUAGUAGCUUGUUGUUUUUUCGCUUCCUCGUAUUGCGGUGUCUUCUUGACAAAACCUCUUUCGAUCAAACUGUAGGCCAUGUCUAUUACGCUUUUCUUGAAAUCCUCAAACUGCAUACCGAAAUGGUCUUUUAUCUGAACAAACAAA